RNAcentral lists this ribosomal RNA (468 nucleotides) under uncultured bacterium. RNAcentral describes it as "partial 16S ribosomal RNA". It matches the Rfam family "Bacterial small subunit ribosomal RNA", at positions 28 to 507 of the family's 1533-position model. The record is from RNAcentral.
GACGAACGCUGGCGGCGUGCUUAACACAUGCAAGUCGAACGGAAAGGCCCUGCUUUUGUGGGGUGCUCGAGUGGCGAACGGGUGAGUAACACGUGAGUAACCUGCCCUUGACUUUGGGAUAACUUCAGGAAACUGGGGCUAAUACCGGAUAGGAGCUCCUGCUGCAUGGUGGGGGUUGGAAAGUUUCGGCGGUUGGGGAUGGACUCGCGGCUUAUCAGCUUGUUGGUGGGGUAGUGGCUUACCAAGGCUUUGACGGGUAGCCGGCCUGAGAGGGUGGCCGGCCACAUUGGGACUAAGGUACGGACCAGACUCCUACGGGAGACAGCAGGCGGGAGUAUUGCACAGUGGGCGGAAGCCUGAUGCAGCAACGCCGCGUGCGGGAUGACGGCCUUCGGGUUGUAAACCGCUUUCGCCUGUGACGAAGCGUGAGUGACGGUAAUGAGUAAAGAAGCACCGGCUAACUACGUG